CGGGACGGGUGAGUAAUGUAUGGGGAUCUGCCUGAUGGCGGGGAUAACUACUGGAAACGGUAGCUAAUACCGCAUAACGUCGCAAGACCAAAGAGGGGGACCUUCGGGCCUCUUGCCAUCGGAUGUGCCCAGAUGGGAUUAGCUAGUAGGUGGGGUAACGGCUCACCUAGGCGACGAUCCCUAGCUGGUCUGAGAGGAUGACCAGCCACACUGGAACUGAGACACGGUCCAG
This 232-nucleotide ribosomal RNA is filed under the name uncultured bacterium. RNAcentral's name for it is "partial 16S ribosomal RNA". It matches the Rfam family "Bacterial small subunit ribosomal RNA", at positions 100 to 334 of the family's 1533-position model. The record is from RNAcentral.